Molecule: ribosomal RNA, 253 nt
Filed under: uncultured bacterium
Lineage: Bacteria
Description: partial 16S ribosomal RNA
Rfam family: Bacterial small subunit ribosomal RNA
Source: RNAcentral
UACGUAGGGGGCAAGCGUUGUCCGGAUUUACUGGGCGUAAAGCGCGUGUAGGCGGUUCCGCCAGUCUGGUGUGAAAGCCCGGGGCUCAACCCCGGAAGCGCAUUGGAUACUACGGAGCUUGAGUCCGGAAGAGGAAAGUGGAAUUCCUGGUGUAGCGGUGAAAUGCGCAGAUAUCAGGAGGAACACCAAUGGCGAAGGCAGCACUCUGGGACGUGACUGACGCUGAGACGCGAAAGCGUGGGGAGCAAACAGG